RNAcentral lists this long non-coding RNA (1066 nucleotides) under Coturnix japonica (Japanese quail). RNAcentral describes it as "lncRNA (ENSCJPG00005000154.1)". Lineage: Eukaryota; Metazoa; Chordata; Aves; Galliformes; Phasianidae. The record is from RNAcentral.
CCGCUAGAUGGCAGCCGGCGCCAGCGAUUCCCGCUCGGCUCCGCGCCACCGCCGGGGCCGCCGGGGCCGCGCCGGGCCGGGCCGAGCCGAGCCGCGCCGGGCGCCGCGGGGCGCGGAGCGUGGCUGCCCCCGGCCCCCGCCCCGCCGCCGCCGCCCCCCGCCGUUCAGGGAGUCGCGACCGCCGCCGAGCACCGUGUGUUCGCACAGGAGGAGAAGAAGAAGGAAGGGGCAAGGAAGAGGAAAAGAAGAGGAUUUAUUUACCCGACCUACUUUGGAUCUCUCUUUUUUCCUGCGUGUGCCAUUAUUAUUCCCGUCCUCUAUUUUUACACUUCGCCGUGAAUUCGUCUCCUCUGCGAAUUUAGUCACAUCCGAUUUUUUUUUUUUUUUUUUUUUUUUUUUUUUUUUUUUUUUUUCAAAAAAAAAAAAAAAAAGAGAGAGAGAGAGAGAGAGAGAGAAAGAGAGAGAGCGAGAGCGAGGAGAGACACAGAGAGCGCGAGCGCCGAGCUCGAGAGAAAGAGCAGCGCCCGGCACCCUCCUCCGCCGCCGCCGACACGAGAUCAAACUGCCUCAGCUCCCCGCCCGCCCCCGCCGCGCUCCCCAGCUUCGCCGCGCUGAAUGGCUGACGGCGCCCUGCCCUGGACCUGGCCCCCGGACACCUCCGUGCCCUGAUCGCUUCGCUCUCCGCCUCCACCUCCCGCUCCCCGGCCCGCGCGCCCGAGAGCCGCAGCGGCGGCAGCGGCAGCCGGCGGCAGCACCGCGGCGGCGGCCGGGCCCCGGCGGCGGCGAGCGGCGACCUCCUCCUCUCCUCUUCUUCCUGCUUCUGCUUCUCCGGAUCCAGCUCCGCGGCGGCGCCCCGGCUUCCUCUAUGCCUGCGCAUCCUCCGCGCCCCGUAGCGCCCGGACCGCGUGUGCCUGUGCCUGUGCCCGUGCGUGUGCGUGUGCGCGAGUGGGGAGCCGUGUGCCGGGCGUGUGCGCGCGUGUCUGCCUGCGUGUGCGUGUCCGGCGUGUGCCUCUCCUGGAUGCCUCUCCCGACGGCCCUGUUCGCUGCUUCUGAUUUUGCAACUUGA